Papilio xuthus (Asian swallowtail) is the source of this 840-nucleotide long non-coding RNA. RefSeq lists it as uncharacterized. The record is from RefSeq and is a predicted model, not a curated record. The transcript has 5 exons. Lineage: Eukaryota; Metazoa; Arthropoda; Insecta; Lepidoptera; Papilionidae.
GGUUGGCACUCACCGCACACGGCGGGGUGAUUUCAAAAUAAUUGGAGCCGUGUGCCUUCUCAUAUUUCCAUAUUGAAGUGUGGGAAGUGAUAAAAUAAUUAACGUAAAUGCUACUUUUUUGAACUAAUAAUACAAUGACCUUUUCAGAGACAGGAAUAUAGUAAAGAAAACUGUGUGUCAAAACGGAAGGCUUCUUCUUCAACCGCGCUUACGAAGCUAGUACCAUUUCAAAGCUAUCUGCAGCGACUGACGACGCGAGCAUCACAGACGCAACGCACUUAACCACAUUGACCUCGCCCAUGUGUUUCUACACUCGAUUUGCACUUCGGAAUUUCAGUAUGAAGAUCAUCUUGAUGUAGAACACAUGGUUGAAGUUCACGCUCAGAUUGUGCAUCUCAACUAGUUGUCUACGCAGCCAACACAAGCAUCUCAGGACUACAUUCUGUGGACCCAAACGUAAGGACUGGCAUCAGAUUUCACCGAGGGCAUGGCGAGGAGACUACACGGCUUAAUAAUGGUGGUCCCAGACAUGCAGCAGCAGCGUACGACCUAAACAAAGUCUUCAUACGUGGUUCAAACACAAUCCCUGUAGUCAGCGCUACGUGACUUCGACGACACCUGGACAUGUCGCAUCACAGAAACACCGUUCUGUUAUCGCGGACCAAUCAUCUGCGCAAUCUGCGCCAUCACUCGGAGAUGCCUUGGAGUGAACGUCUCGCCUUCGACAGAUUGACGAUUCGGCGGCGCCGGCGCCUAGUGAACAACUCGCUCAACUCGUGGGCCGCAUGCCGUCAAUUGGUAUUAUUUACGAUUCUAAUAUUGUUACAGCAAGUUUAUAAU